Molecule: ribosomal RNA, 398 nt
Filed under: uncultured bacterium
Lineage: Bacteria
Description: bacterial SSU rRNA
Rfam family: Bacterial small subunit ribosomal RNA
Source: RNAcentral
UGAGGAAUAUUGGUCAAUGGGCGGUAGCCUGAACCAGCCAAGUCGCGUGAAGGAAGAAGGAGCUAUGGUUCGUAAACUUCUUUUGCAGGGGAAUAAAGUGCAGGACGUGUCCUGUUUUGUAUGUACCCUGAGAAUAAGGAUCGGCUAACUCCGUGCCAGCAGCCGCGGUAAUACGGAGGAUCCGAGCGUUAUCCGGAUUCAUUGGUUUUAACGAGUCCGUAGGCGGACUUAUAAGUCAGUGGUGAAAGCCUGUCGCUUAACGAUAGCAAGGCCAUUGACACUGUAAGUCUUGUGUAUAUUUGAGGUAGCUAUAAUAAGUAGUGUAGCUGUGAGAUGCAUAGAUAUUACGUAGAACUCCAAUUGCGAAGGCAGGUUACCAAGAUAUAACUGACGCUGAG